AACGAACGCUGGCGGCAGGCUUAACACAUGCAAGUCGAACGGAUCCUUCGGGAUUAGUGGCAGACGGGUGAGUAACGCGUGGGAACGUACCCUUUGCUACGGAAUAACUCAGGGAAACUUGAGCUAAUACCGCAUGUGCCCUACGGGGGAAAGAUUUAUCGGCAAAGGAUCGGCCCGCGUUGGAUUGGCUAGUUGGUGGGGUAAUGGCCUACCAAGGCGACGAUCCAUAGCUGGUCUGAGAGGAUGAUCAGCCACACUGGGACUGAGACACGGCCCAGACUCCUACGGGAGGCAGCAGUGGGGAAUAUUGGACAAUGGGCGCAAGCCUGAUCCAGCCAUGCCGCGUAAGUGAUGAAGGUCUUAGGAUUGUAAAGCUCUUUCACCGGUGAAGAUAAUGACGGUAGCCGGAGAAGAAGCCCCGGCUAACUUCGUG
RNAcentral lists this ribosomal RNA (433 nucleotides) under uncultured bacterium. Its description in RNAcentral is "partial 16S ribosomal RNA". It matches the Rfam family "Bacterial small subunit ribosomal RNA", at positions 29 to 507 of the family's 1533-position model. The record is from RNAcentral.